GCUCAGGAUGAACGCUGGCGGCGUGCCUAAUACAUGCAAGUCGAGCGAACGGACGAGAGUGCUUGCACUCUUUGAUGUUAGCGGCGGACGGGUGAGUAACACGUGGGUAACCUACCUAUAAGACUGGGAUAACUUCGGGAAACCGGAGCUAAUACCGGAUAAUAUUUUUCUCUGCAUGGAGGAAUAGUGAAAGACGGUUUUGCUGUCACUUAUAGAUGGACCCGCGGUGUAUUAGCUAGUUGGUGAGGUAACGGCUCACCAAGGCAACGAUACAUAGCCGACCUGAGAGGGUGAUCGGCCACACUGGGACUGAGACACGGCCCAGACUCCUACGGGAGGCAGCAGUAGGGAAUCUUCCGCAAUGGACGAAAGUCUGACGGAGCAACGCCGCGUGAGUGAAGAAGGUUUUCGGAUCGUAAAACUCUGUUGUAAGGGAAGAACAAGUACGUUAGUAACUGAACGUACCUGACG
RNAcentral lists this ribosomal RNA (471 nucleotides) under Macrococcoides caseolyticum. Its description in RNAcentral is "bacterial SSU rRNA". It matches the Rfam family "Bacterial small subunit ribosomal RNA", at positions 22 to 484 of the family's 1533-position model. Lineage: Bacteria; Bacillati; Bacillota; Bacilli; Caryophanales; Staphylococcaceae. The record is from RNAcentral.